GAUGAACGCUGGCGGCGUGCCUAAUACAUGCAAGUCGAGCGAACAGACGAGGUGCUUGCUCCUCUGACGUUAGCGGCGGACGGGUGAGUAACACGUGGAUAACCUACCUAUAAGACUGGGAUAACUUCGGGAAACCGGAGCUAAUACCGGAUAACAUGUUGAACCGCAUGGUUCAACAGUGAAAGACGGUUUUGCUGUCACUUAUAGAUGGAUCCGCGUCGCAUUAGCUAGUUGGUAAGGUAACGGCUUACCAAGGCAACGAUGCGUAGCCGACCUGAGAGGGUGAUCGGCCACACUGGAACUGAGACACGGUCCAGACUCCUACGGGAGGCAGCAGUAGGGAAUCUUCCGCAAUGGGCGAAAGCCUGACGGAGCAACGCCGCGUGAGUGAAGAAGGUCUUCGGAUCGUAAAACUCUGUUAUUAGGGAAGAACAAAUGUGUAAGUAACUAUGCACGUCUUGACGGUACCUAAUCAGAAAGCCACGGCUAACUACGUG
This 497-nucleotide ribosomal RNA is filed under the name uncultured bacterium. RNAcentral's name for it is "partial 16S ribosomal RNA". It matches the Rfam family "Bacterial small subunit ribosomal RNA", at positions 28 to 507 of the family's 1533-position model. The record is from RNAcentral.